UUGAGAUCCACAUCCGGUCAGAGGAACAAAGUUCAAUGUCAUUGUUCUCUGGUAAGUAUUGUGUAAGAUUUUCUCUUAAUCCUUGAUGAUCUGUCAGUAGCUAGAUUCCUGCCCUUGCAUCAAUAACUACUUCAUAAGACUCAUUCUUCACCUUCACUGACCUUCAACUCUACACUCUACCUCUGCCUCACCCUUGGUUCCCACUCUGCACUUCCUCCCAGGCAGUCUGCCACCUGGCUUCUCUAACUCCUGCCUUGAGCCAAAUCCCGACAGGACUUGUUACUUUCACUUGCUCUUUUUUCCUCCCAUUUUAGCAGCCAAGGAUGGGAAUUACACAGCGAAAUGCAGGCUAAUCAGCUAAAUCUAGAUUAAAUAUGCUAGUCCUUGGGGACCUUGAGCUGAAUUAAUGGAAACCGAGGUUUUUAAUGUUCCAGACUAAUUUUGGAAGCUCACUUCCAGCAGAGGCAAACUUGAGGCUGUCCAAAGGGAGCAGAUGGCAAGGCUUUCUCCAGGUGCACCAACCUUUGAAACAGCCCUCGGCAAAACCAUGAGGAAGAGAUCCUCGUGGUGAAUUCCCUCAUUUCCUUCAAGUCUGCUCAAAUGUUACUUCUCAAACAGGGAGGAGGCUCCAUGAUCUUACCUUCCCAAUUAUGAAGUAAGCAACGAUGACCUCUUAAACUCGUGAAUCUAACAGUGGUUGGGCAUAGAUAAUUGCUGUGAAAUACUUGAUGACUGAUUAGCUUUGAUAAAGAAUUCUGAGAUAAUUUUUAUGCUGUUGUUACUAAUCCCACCCUCAGCAUUCUUUCAAAAAUGAGAUUAUUUGUCUUUUUCUUCAUGGCCUUGGUGGAAAUAUAAAUUUCUUUUUAACCCUAAAAUUGUCUUGGACUUAUAACUUGAGAUAUCCUAUGAGAAACAGAUUAAUUAUGCCUGCUAAUUUUGGAACAAACUAUCAGCCUAAUAAUGUCUUUCUAGUUCCAUCUUCCAUCAUUUGAAAUUCCAGUAAAGUAAUACUUGUUGAGUACUAACAUUUAUAUGUAUUUUACGUCAAUGAUCUGAACGUA
RNAcentral lists this long non-coding RNA (1061 nucleotides) under Homo sapiens (human). RNAcentral's name for it is "HSALNT0247265". The record is from RNAcentral. Lineage: Eukaryota; Metazoa; Chordata; Mammalia; Primates; Hominidae.